GAUGAACGCUGGCGGCGUGCCUAAUACAUGCAAGUCGAGCGAACGGACGAGAAGCUUGCUUUUCUGAUGUUAGCGGCGGACGGGUGAGUAACACGUGGAUAACCUACCUAUAAGACUUGGAUAACUUCGGGAAACCGGCGCUAAUACCGGUUAAUAUUUUGAACCGCAUGGUUCAAAAGUGAAAGACGGUCUUGCUGUCACUUAUAGAUGGAUCCGCGCUGCAUUAGCUAGUUGGUAAGGUAACGGCUUACCAAGGCAACGAUGCAUAGCCGACCUGAGAGGGUGAUCGGCCACACUGGAACUGAGACACGGUCCAGACUCCUACGGGAGGCAGCAGUAGGGAAUCUUCCGCAAUGGGCGAAAGCCUGACGGAGCAACGCCGCGUGAGUGAUGAAGGUCUUCGGAUCGUAAAACUCUGUUAUUAGGGAAGAACAUAUGUGUAAGUAACUGUGCACAUCUUGACGGUACCUAAUCAGAAAGCCACGGCUAACUACGUG
This 497-nucleotide ribosomal RNA is filed under the name uncultured bacterium. RNAcentral's name for it is "partial 16S ribosomal RNA". It matches the Rfam family "Bacterial small subunit ribosomal RNA", at positions 28 to 507 of the family's 1533-position model. The record is from RNAcentral.